UUCAUGGAGAGUUUGAUCCUGGCUCAGGACGAACGCUGGCGGCGUGCCUAAUACAUGCAAGUCGAGCGGACCGACGGGAGCUUGCUCCCUUAGGUCAGCGGCGGACGGGUGAGUAACACGUGGGUAACCUGCCUGUAAGACUGGGAUAACUCCGGGAAACCGGGGCUAAUACCGGAUGCUUGAUUGAACCGCAUGGUUCAAUCAUAAAAGGUGGCUUUUAGCUACCACUUACAGAUGGACCCGCGGCGCAUUAGCUAGUUGGUGAGGUAACGGCUCACCAAGGCGA
RNAcentral lists this ribosomal RNA (286 nucleotides) under Bacillus sp. Gen2. Its description in RNAcentral is "partial 16S ribosomal RNA". It matches the Rfam family "Bacterial small subunit ribosomal RNA", at positions 1 to 276 of the family's 1533-position model. The record is from RNAcentral. Lineage: Bacteria; Bacillati; Bacillota; Bacilli; Caryophanales; Bacillaceae.